GAUGAACGCUGGCGGCAGGCCUAACACAUGCAAGUCGAGCGGGACGCGGACGGGAUAGCAAUGACUGGGACACGGCCUGAUGGAGGGGGAUAACUAAUGGAACCGGUAGCUAAUACCGCCUACCAUCGGAUGUGCCCAGAUGGGAUUAGCUAGUAGGAGGGGUAAAGGCUCACCUAGGCGACGAACCCUAACUGGUCUGAGAGGAUGACCAGCCACACUGGAACUGAGACACGGUCCAGACUCCUACGGGAGGCAGCAGUGGGGAAUAUUGCACAAUGGGCGAAAGCCUGAUGCAGCCAUGCCGCGUGUAUGAAGAAGGCCUUCGGGUUGUAAAGCACUUUCAGUGGGGAGGCGUUACCCGCAGAAUAAGCACCGGCUAACUCCGUGCCAGCAGCCGAGGUAAUAC
This 406-nucleotide ribosomal RNA is filed under the name uncultured bacterium. RNAcentral's name for it is "partial 16S ribosomal RNA". It matches the Rfam family "Bacterial small subunit ribosomal RNA", at positions 28 to 526 of the family's 1533-position model. The record is from RNAcentral.